RNAcentral lists this long non-coding RNA (597 nucleotides) under Olea europaea (common olive). RNAcentral describes it as "long non-coding RNA (OEUR_LNC000286)". Lineage: Eukaryota; Viridiplantae; Streptophyta; Magnoliopsida; Lamiales; Oleaceae. The record is from RNAcentral.
AUGAAAGACACACAAAUACAAAUAUAGUAUAUUAUUUAGUACGUGGGUUAAGAGUUGAAGUCCCAAAUAUUUCAGUAUUUCUCUUAUCAUUGUUAUAAGAUAUGGUAAGUGUAUAAGUAAUUUUAUAGUAUUAUAUGUUUAUGUUAGAUUUUUGGGACAUUGAUUAUGAGGUCCUUUAUGUAUGCUCUAAGUUUGGAUCGGAGUAUAGUAGCAUUACACAAGAAAGUUUUAUACUACCUAUGUUCGGUAUAGAUUUGCAGUCUCACUAUUUAUGUAUGUAUAUAUGUAUGAAACUCCUUAAAUUCUAUACAAAUGUUAAUCCAUUUACUUAUAUGGUUAUUGAUAUUUACUCUCACACCCCCUUAAUCCCCUUUCAGGAAAUUGAUGGUUCGUGGCAAUUAAGGCAUGAGAGGGUUGACAAAUUGGCAAGUGAAAGAAACCCACCAUGAUUUUUUUUAAAGAAUUAUUUAAUUAUUGGUUUGAUGCUAAGAUUGUUAAACUUCUAGUAUUUUGUUUUAUGUUGACGUCAAAAUUUUACGUAUUCAAUUUUACAAUUUCAUGACAUUAUUUAAAUAAAUUUCAAACUUUUGAAAGUGC